This 69-nucleotide transfer RNA is filed under the name Phyllopteryx dewysea (ruby seadragon). RNAcentral describes it as "tRNA-Gly". It matches the Rfam family "tRNA". From Rfam's summary of the family: Transfer RNA (tRNA) molecules are approximately 80 nucleotides in length. The record is from RNAcentral. Lineage: Eukaryota; Metazoa; Chordata; Actinopteri; Syngnathiformes; Syngnathidae.
GUCUUUUUAGUAUAACUAGUAUAAGUGACUUCCAAUCACCCGGCCUUGGUUNAACUCCAAGAAAAGAUA